Molecule: long non-coding RNA, 716 nt
Organism: Carassius auratus (goldfish)
Lineage: Eukaryota; Metazoa; Chordata; Actinopteri; Cypriniformes; Cyprinidae
Exons: 3
Source: RefSeq, a predicted model, not a curated record
AGUGGUCCUGAUUGAAAUACAAAUUAAAUCCUUGACAAACCACAAAAGUACUACAUCUGUAUUGUUUAAAAUAAAUAAAGCUCAAACUAACUACGACUAUUAGGCUAAUAUAUUAAAGAUAUUUCUUAUUUUCUGGUGCCAUUUAUGCAGUUUAAUUAGUUCCACAUAAUUAAAAAAAACGUUUGAAAAUAUUUUAAGAUGUUUCUCUUUUUUUUCACAGAGAUAAUGACCUCCUGACUGUGGGGCUUCUAGUUAUAGCUGCGCUUCUGCUAUUACUGAUUCUGAUCAGUGUUUUCAUCUGGAGACUGAGACGGAGACCCAAGCAGGAUGAACACCAAAUCAGAGAGAGAAAAAGCAGUACAACCACUGACACAGAUCCCGUUAAUGACAUAAUCUACUACAGCACUAUUGAUCAUGUUCCUGGGAGUGAAGCGAUGAAGUCUCCAGCAGGUGGAGCAAUAAACAGCAUUAUAUACAGCACUGUGGCUCCACACUGAUAGCAACAGCGAGAACAACACAAGAACAGACCAAGAGAAACACAAUCAACAGCAGCGGAAUGGCAUCACAACCUUUUUUUUUAAUAUAUAUUAUUGCCGUUUAAUUUGGUUACUGUAAAAAUCACUUUAAGUUUACUUGUACAGUGCUCUGUUGUUUGCAUUAAUACAAGCAAGGUCAGCGUACAUUUUGAUCAUUUCAUUUCCUAUUUUAGAAUUCAG